RNAcentral lists this non-coding RNA (26 nucleotides) under Rattus norvegicus (Norway rat). The record is from RNAcentral. Lineage: Eukaryota; Metazoa; Chordata; Mammalia; Rodentia; Muridae.
UACUCUUUGAGAAUGGCCACCAGUCU